CACAUAGAAACGAAAAUGGCGAUCUCCACCGCGAUUCUUCCACGAUCUCCGCCGUAAUUCUUCUUCGAUCUCCGCCGUGCUUUUUUCAGGUUGUUCAAGAAUUUCAAGUAGUAUGAAGAAUUUCAAGGAUUUUAUGAAUGCGAGGAUUCCAUGUUCGACUAUGGCAGUUUCUAUGAUGCAUUACAUUUACUUUAAUGUCUUUGCUUUCUAUCCUUAACUACCAAAAUAUGCCUAUUUUCUUCCAUGGAUAAUAAUUUAUGCUCUCUACUUUUGCAUGGAUGUUUUUGUGGCAUUUGUCUAUUAUGGAUAUUGAUUUA
This 317-nucleotide long non-coding RNA is filed under the name Medicago truncatula (barrel medic). Its description in RNAcentral is "lncRNA gene41837". Lineage: Eukaryota; Viridiplantae; Streptophyta; Magnoliopsida; Fabales; Fabaceae. The record is from RNAcentral.